Molecule: ribosomal RNA, 468 nt
Filed under: uncultured bacterium
Lineage: Bacteria
Description: partial 16S ribosomal RNA
Rfam family: Bacterial small subunit ribosomal RNA
Source: RNAcentral
GACGAACGCUGGCGGCGUGCUUAACACAUGCAAGUCGAACGGAAAGGCCCUGCUUUUGUGGGGUGCUCGAGUGGCGAACGGGCGAGUAACACGUGAGUAACCUGCCCUUGACUUUGGGAUAACUUCAGGAAACUGGGGCUAAUACCGGAUAGGCGCUCCUGCUGCAUGGUGGGGGUUGGAAAGGUUCGGCGGUUGGGGAUGGACUCGCGGCUUAUCAGCUUGUUGGUGGGGUAGUGGCUUACCAAGGCUUUGACGGGUAGCCGGCCUGAGAGGGUGACCGGCCACAUUGGGACUGAGAUACGGCCCAGACUCCUACGGGAGGCAGCAGUGGGGAAUAUUGCACAAUGGGCGGAAGCCUGAUGCAGCAACGCCGCGUGCGGGAUGACGGCCUUCGGGUGGUAAACCGCUUUCGCCUGUGACGAAGCGUGAGUGACGGUAAUGGGUAAAGAAGCACCGGCUAACUACGUG